GGUAACUGACAAUCAGUUCUUUAAUACAAGAAAUGGGAAACAUAAUGAGUUUCAAAGGUUCAUGUAGAGAGUUUAUCUGAAGAAUGGUUGCGCAGCAAGGGACACGACAGUGUUAAGUUGAUAGAGUGUGAGAGUACGUGACUUGUAGCAUGAAAACUAUGUCCUUGAGCAACAGAUGUCUCGUAACAGCCAGGAUGUGAAAUUGCUUGGUAUGCAGAAAGAUAAUCAAGUAUAAAGAAGCAGUAACCGCAAGGCUUAUCGCAAAAAGAUAUAUGUGUUAAUGGAAAGGUAACCAAUCCUGAGCUUCGCUUUUGCAAUAUGUAUGAGCUAAUUAGUACUUGAUAAAGAAACUGUGAUCGACUCCAAUAAACUGAGACUUGUUGAUCAUGAUAGCAUGAGGCUUGUCUCCCGCGACUCUCUCCAACAUCUGGCGCCCGGAUCUGUGAGACGUUGGCGUUGGGUUCUGGUCCCGCAGCUAGACAGACGGCGAUUAAGCUCCUCUACCUGGUGCCGCGCCCUGAGUGACCACAGCGGUGGGCUCAGCCGAUACGUGCUGCCGAAGCCUAGAGGGGCUGCAACAGCGCUGAUGUCACAUCCGUUGAGAAUGUGGAGCAACGGGAGUAUGGUGCGGAAAAUGCCAAUCCAACACUCACAAACUCCACUGCUUGUUGAAGGAAGCAGGGAAACUCGAAGAACAGCGCGAGCAGCGGCCGCGCAGGGACACAAAUGGCAGCUGCACUGUCAGCACCCCCCGACAACUCCAACCAGCAACAACCGGGAGCCUCGGCUUGGACCUGGCAGCCUUAGUAGAUGUUGACAUCCUUUCCACUCAUUUGCAUAAGGUUCCCACUGGACGUUUUGGCCCUAUUUUUAUAAAUGGCCAGCCAAUAGGGGGCUUGAUAAUUGGUCGCUCCUCUGCUACUACUCUGGGUCUGUAUGUUGAGCCGGGGGUCAUUGACUCUGAUUGUAGAAGUGAACUUAUGAUUAUGGUUCAUACUCCGUAUCCCCCCGUGAAAGUACCCAAAGGACAGAGACUAGCCCAAUUGAUUCCGUUGCCUCAAAUGACCAAGGGACUAAUGUCCCUUACACAAGAGCCCAGGAACAAAGGAAGCUUCGGAUCUACGGGGGGCCUAACCUUGCUCACCAUAGACCUCAAUACUCGACCUAAGAAGUCCUGUCGUCUGACUUAUCAAGGACGCAGUAUCACACUUAAGGGACUCCUCGAUACAGGUGCUGACGCGAGUAUAGUUGAUCUUGCACACUGGCCUUUCACCUGGCCAAUACAGCCCUCAGCAACCACUGUCACUGCAUCGGAGGAAUGACGCUGGCUAAUCGUACCCCUGUACUGACAGUCGAGAUUGAAGGAAAACAAGCAUCGACAGCAUUUUCUAUAACAGCACUGCCACCUACUGUUCACUGCCUAAUUGGCUGCGAUAUUCUUGCUCAACUGGGUCUUGUCCUCACU
Molecule: long non-coding RNA, 1465 nt
Filed under: Taeniopygia guttata (zebra finch)
Lineage: Eukaryota; Metazoa; Chordata; Aves; Passeriformes; Estrildidae
Description: lncRNA (ENSTGUG00000013720.2)
Source: RNAcentral